CUCUAAGAGGCUAUAGAGAAGGCACAUAAGCUGGGUUGACAGGAUGAGACAAGGCAUUCUGGAGAAGGUAAUUGUGGUGGGGGAGUAACAGGCAACCCACAGUGAUGGAGGGCAGCCAUAUUUCAGUCAUUGGGCAGGGAGUGUGCACAUUCUGGAAACAACACAUCAUUUUUGUAAAGUUGGGACCUAGAGUGAAAAUACGGGAGUGAUUGA
RNAcentral lists this long non-coding RNA (213 nucleotides) under Homo sapiens (human). Its description in RNAcentral is "non-protein coding lnc-MRPL39-18:1". Lineage: Eukaryota; Metazoa; Chordata; Mammalia; Primates; Hominidae. The record is from RNAcentral.